UCACCCCUAGAAAAAAAUAAUUACUUAUGCAAUCUGAAAAUGACUUAUGCAACUGACACACACACACACUAAGAAAGAGAAAAACAGACACAAACAUUGCAUAGUUCAAACACUAUUCAUUACUCAUGUUUUUUGUUUUUCCUCUUUUUACAUUCUCUAGUUAAUGUUGUUGUUCUCACCUUCUUCUCUCUCUCUCUCUCUCUCUAUGCUUCUCUGUCACCCACCACCACUCUCUUUAAUUCCCUUUGAAACCGUUGAACAUUUUUCAACAUUCACACUACCUUCCAUCACAUCUUCAUGAAUGAUAUACACCACUUGAUCAC
Molecule: long non-coding RNA, 323 nt
Filed under: Lathyrus oleraceus (garden pea)
Lineage: Eukaryota; Viridiplantae; Streptophyta; Magnoliopsida; Fabales; Fabaceae
Description: Pisum sativum (pea) long non-coding RNA (PSAT_LNC015709)
Source: RNAcentral